ACGGAGGAUGCAAGCGUUAUCCGGAUUUAUUGGGUUUAAAGGGUGCGUAGGCGGCACGCCAAGUCAGCGGUGAAAUUUCCGGGCUCAACCCGGACUGUGCCGUUGAAACUGGCGAGCUAGAGUGCACAAGAGGCAGGCGGAAUGCGUGGUGUAGCGGUGAAAUGCAUAGAUAUCACGCAGAACCCCGAUUGCGAAGGCAGCCUGCUAGGGUGCGACAGACGCUGAGGCACGAAAGCGUGGGUAUCGAACAG
This 251-nucleotide ribosomal RNA is filed under the name uncultured bacterium. Its description in RNAcentral is "partial 16S ribosomal RNA". It matches the Rfam family "Bacterial small subunit ribosomal RNA", at positions 525 to 775 of the family's 1533-position model. The record is from RNAcentral.